AGAAACUUAGGUUAAACUAAACCAGGAGCCUUCAAAGCCCCAAACAGCGAGCCACCAUCUCCUAGUUUCUG
This 71-nucleotide transfer RNA is filed under the name Lucasium damaeum (beaded gecko). RNAcentral's name for it is "tRNA-Trp". The record is from RNAcentral. Lineage: Eukaryota; Metazoa; Chordata; Lepidosauria; Squamata; Diplodactylidae.